RNAcentral lists this ribosomal RNA (425 nucleotides) under uncultured bacterium. RNAcentral's name for it is "partial 16S ribosomal RNA". It matches the Rfam family "Bacterial small subunit ribosomal RNA", at positions 354 to 796 of the family's 1533-position model. The record is from RNAcentral.
GUGGGGAAUCUUAGACAAUGGGGGAAACCCUGAUCUAGCCAUGCCGCGUGAGCGAUGAAGGCCUUAGGGUUGUAAAGCUCUUUCAGCUGGGAAGAUAAUGACGGUACCAGCAGAAGAAGCCCCGGCUAACUCCGUGCCAGCAGCCGCGGUAAUACGGAGGGGGCUAGCGUUGUUCGGAAUUACUGGGCGUAAAGCGCGCGUAGGCGGACUGAAAAGUUGGGGGUGAAAUCCCGGGGCUCAACCUCGGAACUGCCUUCAAAACUAUCAGUCUGGAGUUCGAGAGAGGUGAGUGGAAUUCCGAGUGUAGAGGUGAAAUUCGUAGAUAUUCGGAGGAACACCAGUGGCGAAGGCGGCUCACUGGCUCGAUACUGACGCUGAGGUGCGAAAGCGUGGGGAGCAAACAGGAUUAGAAACCCCUGUAGUCC